Molecule: microRNA precursor, 97 nt
Organism: Camelus ferus (Wild Bactrian camel)
Lineage: Eukaryota; Metazoa; Chordata; Mammalia; Artiodactyla; Camelidae
Rfam family: mir-544 microRNA precursor family
Source: Rfam
AUCACCUGAGAUCUUGUUAAAACGCAGAUUCAGAUUCUGUAAGUCGGAGAGGCAGCUUGAGAUUCUGCAUUUCUAACAAGUUCCCAGAUGGUGCUAC